Molecule: ribosomal RNA, 442 nt
Filed under: uncultured Bordetella sp.
Lineage: Bacteria; Pseudomonadati; Pseudomonadota; Betaproteobacteria; Burkholderiales; Alcaligenaceae
Description: bacterial SSU rRNA
Rfam family: Bacterial small subunit ribosomal RNA
Source: RNAcentral
AUGAUGUGGAUUAAUUCGAUGCAACGCGAAAACCUUACCUACCCUUGACAUGUCCGGAAUCCCGAAGAGAUUUGGGAGUGCUCGCAAGAGAACCGGAACACAGGUGCUGCAUGGCUGUCGUCAGCUCGUGUCGUGAGAUGUUGGGUUAAGUCCCGCAACGAGCGCAACCCUUGCCAUUAGUUGCUACGAAAGGGCACUCUAAUGGGACUGCCGGUGACAAACCGGAGGAAGGUGGGGAUGACGUCAAGUCCUCAUGGCCCUUAUAGGUGGGGCUACACACGUCAUACAAUGGCCGGUACAGAGGGUAGCCAACCCGCGAGGGGGAGCCAAUCCCACAAAGCCGGUCGUAGUCCGGAUCGCAGUCUGCAACUCGACUGCAUGAAGUCGGAAUCGCUAGUAAUCGCGGAUCAGGCAUGUCGCGGUGAAUACGUUCCCGGGCCUU